GUUGUAUCUUCUAGUUGUGAGUGCCUCUGGUUGUGGCAUGUGGGACGCCGCCUCAAGCGUUGCCUGAUGAGCCGUGCCAUGUCCGCGCCCAGGAUCCCAACUAGCAAAACCCCCUGGAUGGGAAAGCGGAGCACGAACCCAAACACUUGCCCGUAGGCUGGCCCCCCAUCUGAACCAUUUUUGAGCAUAUGGUUCCGUGGUGUUGAGUACAUUCACAUUGUUGUCAGCCAUCUCCAGAACUCUUCAUCCUGCAGAACAGAAACUCUAGCCCUGUUGAAUAAAGACAACCAUUUCCCCCUCCUCCCAGCCUCUCUUAACCACGUUCUACUCUUUUUUUCUUCAUUCUUCCUUUUGCCUUUUUGUGCCUUUCUCCCUUUUCCUUUAUCUCUCCUUUUUCUUCCCCUCCCUCUUUCCGUCUUUCUCUUCUUAAAAGCCUGAUGGCCCCGAUUCACCCUUGCCAGCCCUCCACAGCCUCUGCCAGGGGCUGGGCCAGAGGCCUGUCAGCCAGGGCUGUGAGCGCGGGGAAGGAGCAUGUACUCAAAGACCCGGCCAGGAAGAAAGAUUUGAUCUCCCGGCAGGAUCCACUUCCCAUGGCGACGCCUUCUUGAGUCGAAGCUCUGAUCUUUUUGGUGAAUGCCUUGGAGGUUUGGGUUCAGUGGACUUUGACUGUGUGUCUCCAGAAAGCUCAGCACAUGCCUCCUGAAGCAGAUAUCCAGCCGGCUGAAGCUUGCUGCCGUGGAACCAAUCGUGAGACCGUUGCACAGUGGUGUCUGCGUGAGAUCAGUGCAAUACCGUGAAGAGUCCGCUUGAUUUGGGGGAAGUGCUCGCACAGCAGUCAAGAGGUCUAGAUCCUUUGGGCCUCUGCACCCAUGCUACUAGCUCCAUUUUACACAUGAAGAAAUGGAGGUUCAGAGAGGCGAAGUGACUUGCUCCAGGUCACACAGCUGCCAGGAGAAGAGCAAGCUGAGGUGCCUGGUCCCUGUCUGUGAGCGGCUGCCCCGGCAGAGAGAGCAGCUUCCCUUCUCCAUUCAUCCAAGGAAUGCCACUGAGCUGACUGCAGAGGCCAUCAGAGGCGGGCGUGUCCA
This 1085-nucleotide long non-coding RNA is filed under the name Equus asinus (donkey). RNAcentral describes it as "lncRNA (ENSEASG00005034996.1)". The record is from RNAcentral. Lineage: Eukaryota; Metazoa; Chordata; Mammalia; Perissodactyla; Equidae.